RNAcentral lists this ribosomal RNA (439 nucleotides) under uncultured bacterium. RNAcentral describes it as "partial 16S ribosomal RNA". It matches the Rfam family "Bacterial small subunit ribosomal RNA", at positions 339 to 795 of the family's 1533-position model. The record is from RNAcentral.
CUACGGGAGGCUGCAGUGGGGAAUAUUGCACAAUGGAGGAAACUCUGAUGCAGCAACGCCGCGUGGAGGAUGACACUUUUCGGAGCGUAAACUCCUUUUAUAUAGGAAGAAGAUGACGGUACUAUAUGAAUAAGCGCCGGCUAACUCCGUGCCAGCAGCCGCGGUAAUACGGAGGGCGCAAGCGUUACUCGGAAUCACUGGGCGUAAAGAGCGUGUAGGCGGAUUAAAAAGUCAGAAGUGAAAUCCUAUAGCUUAACUAUAGAGCUGCUUCUGAAACUCUUAAUCUAGAAUAUGGGAGAGGUAGAUGGAAUUUCUGGUGUAGGGGUAAAAUCCGUAGAGAUCAGAAGGAAUACCGAUUGCGAAGGCGAUCUACUAGAACAUUAUUGACGCUGAGACGCGAAAGCGUGGGGAGCAAACAGGAUUAGAUACCCGCGUAGUC